Molecule: transfer RNA, 83 nt
Filed under: Rothia koreensis
Lineage: Bacteria; Bacillati; Actinomycetota; Actinomycetes; Micrococcales; Micrococcaceae
Also listed under: 2 other names
Description: tRNA-Leu
Rfam family: tRNA
About the family: Transfer RNA (tRNA) molecules are approximately 80 nucleotides in length. Their secondary structure includes four short double-helical elements and three loops (D, anti-codon, and T loops).
Source: RNAcentral
GCGCGAGUGGUGGAAUAGGCAGACACGCAGGAUUUAGGUUCCUGUGCCGGUGAGGCGUGCGGGUUCAAGUCCCGCCUCGCGCA